AAGACCUUGCGCUUUUGGAGCGGCCGAUGUCUGAUUAGCUUGUUGGUGAGGUAAAAGCUCACCAAGGCUUCGAUCAGUAGCUGGUCUGAGAGGACGGCCAGCCACACUGGGACUGAGACACGGCCCAGACUCCUACGGGAGGCAGCAGUGGGGAAUUUUGGACAAUGGGGGCAACCCUGAUCCAGCCAUGCCGCGUGAGUGAAGAAGGCCUUCGGGUUGUAAAGCUCUUUCAGCCGGAACGAAACGGUUACGAUUAAUACCCGUGACUACUGACGGUACCGGAAGAAGAAGCACCGGCUAACUACGUGCCAGCAGCCGCGGUAAUACGUAGGGUGCAAGCGUUAAUCGGAAUUACUGGGCGUAAAGCGUGCGCAGGUGGURUUGUAAGUCAGAUGUGAAAUCCCCGGGCURAACCUGGGAACU
This 423-nucleotide ribosomal RNA is filed under the name uncultured bacterium. RNAcentral describes it as "bacterial SSU rRNA". It matches the Rfam family "Bacterial small subunit ribosomal RNA", at positions 207 to 622 of the family's 1533-position model. The record is from RNAcentral.